UGGGGAAUAUUGGACAAUGGGCGAAAGCCUGAUCCAGCCAUGCCGCGUGUGUGAAGAAGGUCUUCGGAUUGUAAAGCACUUUAAGUUGGGGGGAAGGGCAGUAAGCGAAUACCUUGUUGUUUUGCCGUUACCGACAGAAUAAGCACCGGCUAACCCGGUGCCAGCAGCCGCGGUAAUACAGAGGGUGCAAGCGUUAAUCGGAAUUACUGGGCGUAAAGCGCGCGUAGGUGGUUCGUUAAGUUGAAUGUGAAAGCCCCGGGCUCAACCUGGGAACUGCAUCCAAAACUGGCGAGCUAGAGUAGGGCAGAGGGUGGUGGAAUUUCCUGUGUAGCGGUGAAAUGCGUAGAUAUAGGAAGGAACACCAGUGGCGAAGGCGACCACCUGGGCUCAUACUGACACUGAGGUGCGAAAGCGUGGGGAGCAAACAGG
Molecule: ribosomal RNA, 429 nt
Filed under: Pseudomonadota bacterium
Lineage: Bacteria; Pseudomonadati; Pseudomonadota
Description: Proteobacteria bacterium partial 16S ribosomal RNA
Rfam family: Bacterial small subunit ribosomal RNA
Source: RNAcentral